UGCGUAGGCGGACUAAUAAGUCAGUGGUGAAAUCUUUCGGCUCAACCGGGAAACUGCCAUUGAUACUGUUAGUCUUGAGUUCGGUUGAGGUAGGCGGAAUGUGUAAUGUAGCGGUGAAAUGCUUAGAUAUUACACAGAACACCAAUUGCGUAGGCAGCUUACUAGACCGACAUUGACGCUGAGGCACGAAAGCGUGGGGAGCGAACAGGAUUAGAUACCCUGGUAGUCC
This 229-nucleotide ribosomal RNA is filed under the name uncultured bacterium. RNAcentral describes it as "partial 16S ribosomal RNA". It matches the Rfam family "Bacterial small subunit ribosomal RNA", at positions 568 to 796 of the family's 1533-position model. The record is from RNAcentral.